Molecule: long non-coding RNA, 787 nt
Organism: Brassica oleracea var. oleracea
Lineage: Eukaryota; Viridiplantae; Streptophyta; Magnoliopsida; Brassicales; Brassicaceae
Exons: 2
Source: RefSeq, a predicted model, not a curated record
AUGCUGAAAAACGACACUACAAUGGCACGAUGUGUCUUUUCAUGUUCUUCAAUCAUCAUAUCGAGAAAAUAAAAAUCCCCGAUUCAUCUAACCCUAAUUUUGGAGAUGAAGAACACUACCUUAGCGAGGGAGAGGACUGAAGAUUACUAGUACGCAAUUAGAGUCCUUGACAAGGUCUGAUAUGAUCUGUUGAUGAAGCUUCAGCGCUAUUGAAGAAGAAGAAUGGGGUAAAUUGGAGAUAACGAGUCUUGACAAUGAUAGAAAUAUUUCUACAGACCUCAAAACUUUGUGGUUUCUUAGAUACAGGCUGGGGUUUGUGAGAUUUUGAGUGUCGGACAGAUUGGUGAAGAAAGAGACAAGUCAGAAACACGGGAUAUAUUUACUGUGAAAGGAACUGGUAACAUGACAAGGACACUUUAUGUCCGGUUGAUGUUGGAGGGUAUUGGGCAGCUGAUGGAUCAUAUAAUGGUGGUGAGACAAGAUGCUGCAGAGUUGAUUUUGAAAACCAAAGUUUUAAGAUGCUCUUAGUAUGCUGAGCAAUUUACAAGGAUGUAUGCACAUCAUAAGGCAUGGAUGGACUAGGCUAGACAAUAGAUGCACUCUGCUAUAUCUUAUUUUGUUGCUAACUCUGUUUCUUAUUUGAUUUUUCAUUUUAACUUGGUUAAGGUUUUACUAGAGCCAUAUUAUUUAGAAAAUUUUAAGGUCUUCGUAAAACCAUCACUAUUAUGGAAUUUCAUGUAAACUGGUUUCAAGUCUUAGUAAAACAAUCUUUAUUUUGAUGUUAUCA